RNAcentral lists this transfer RNA (72 nucleotides) under Camelus dromedarius (Arabian camel). It matches the Rfam family "tRNA". From Rfam's summary of the family: Transfer RNA (tRNA) molecules are approximately 80 nucleotides in length. Their secondary structure includes four short double-helical elements and three loops (D, anti-codon, and T loops). The record is from Rfam by way of RNAcentral. RNAcentral also lists the same sequence under 1 other name. Lineage: Eukaryota; Metazoa; Chordata; Mammalia; Artiodactyla; Camelidae.
GAGGGUAUAACUCGGUGUUAGAGCAUGUGCUUAGCAUACAUGAAGUCCUGGGUUCAAUCCCCAGUACCUCCA